CAAGGUUUGCAACAGCCCUCGGUGGGAAAGCCCUCGGGGCUAGGCCGGCCAAGCCCGGCUGCCAGCCCUCCUCCUGCCAGAGAUGGGGAAACUGAGGCCCAUCGGGGCUGCAGGGCAGGCUGGCGGGGCAGGAGCGGAGUGAGAGAUUUGGAUCCGGGCCCUGGGAAGGCCUGAUCCGCUGGGCCCUGCUCUGAUGUCUGUUCCCUUUUCCCGUGUAAUCUCGGCCUUCAGAUAAGCCUAACCAGGGGCCUCUAAUCAAGGCUCAGGAUGCUCGAGUGGCCAGUGUGGGGGCCUGGGCAGCCCUUGUCCUGGAGCAGAGGUGAGAAGACUGGAGGCCAUUGGAAGCUAUGCUGGAUUUGAACCCAGACUCCAAAGCCUCCAGUCGAUGGUCUUCCCAGCACCCACAGGUGCAGGGAGGUAGGUGGUGUGCGCCAGCAGCUUUCUGUGCUGGGACCACCUGCCUGAGCCGCACUGAGGCAACUGGGACAAGUUGGUGUUGGUGUCGAUCGGUCCCUGGACUGUGCACCUGCCUGGGCUCUCCUGCUGGCAGAGAUGGAUGGACAGAACCUCACACGUUCAACAGGAAGGAGCUGUCCUCCUACAGGACUGGCUUCUGUCUCAGGCCUUAGCAAUGGCAGAAAUGACCUCCAACCACUGAGCAAGCGUGCGCAAGCCGGAGAGGGGCCGAGAGAGAAUCCCAAGCAGGCCCCAUCCCGGCAGCUCAGUCUAACGUGGAGCUCGGUCUCGUAGGCCGGGGGAUCAGGACCGGAUCUGAAACCAAGAGUCUGAUGCUUCAUUACCACCCAGGCGCCCCUGCAGGCAUUCUUUACACACCCCUCAUCUUCUGUUUUAAUUG
Molecule: long non-coding RNA, 856 nt
Organism: Suricata suricatta (meerkat)
Lineage: Eukaryota; Metazoa; Chordata; Mammalia; Carnivora; Herpestidae
Exons: 3
Source: RefSeq, a predicted model, not a curated record